UACGUAGGGAGCGAGCGUUGUCCGGAUUCAUUGGGCGUAAAGAGCUCGUAGGCGGCUUGAUAAGUCGGAUGUGAAACCUCCAGGCUCAACCUGGAGUCGCCAUCCGAUACUGUCAUGGCUAGAGUCCGGUAGGGGCCAACGGAAUUCCUGGUGUAGCGGUGAAAUGCGCAGAUAUCAGGAGGAACACCGGUGGCGAAGGCGGGUCUCUGGGCCGUAACUGACGCUGAGGAGCGAAAGCGUGGGGAGCGAACAGG
This 254-nucleotide ribosomal RNA is filed under the name uncultured bacterium. Its description in RNAcentral is "partial 16S ribosomal RNA". It matches the Rfam family "Bacterial small subunit ribosomal RNA", at positions 524 to 776 of the family's 1533-position model. The record is from RNAcentral.